This 254-nucleotide ribosomal RNA is filed under the name uncultured bacterium. RNAcentral describes it as "partial 16S ribosomal RNA". It matches the Rfam family "Bacterial small subunit ribosomal RNA", at positions 524 to 776 of the family's 1533-position model. The record is from RNAcentral.
UACGUAGGGGGGCAAGCGUUGUCCGGAUUUAUUGGGCGUAAAGAGCGUGUAGGCGGCUUGGCAAGUCCGCUGUGAAAACUCGAGGCUCAACCUCGAGACGUCGGUGGAAACUGCCUCGCUAGAGUCCGGAAGAGGAGAGUGGAAUUCCUGGUGUAGCGGUGAAAUGCGCAGAUAUCAGGAAGAACACCAAUGGCGAAGGCAGCUCUCUGGGACGGUACUGACGCUAAGGCGCGAAAGCGUGGGGAGCGAACAGG